This is a long non-coding RNA of Daphnia pulicaria, 1750 nucleotides long. RefSeq lists it as uncharacterized. NCBI's taxonomy places the organism in Eukaryota, Metazoa, Arthropoda, Branchiopoda, Diplostraca, Daphniidae. The transcript has 2 exons. The record is from RefSeq and is a predicted model, not a curated record.
AGCCGCGGGAUGGAGGUGCCCUCACUCUUUUAUCGGUUUACCACAAAAAACAGGUACCACUGUUUUUGCUAUAGCAGUUUCCACGCAAAAAUAAUUUCAUAAUUCGUAUAAUGUUUCAUUGCAUAUUAUUUUCCCGGUCGCUACAGCCAUCUAGAUUAUAUAAUCUGCAACUCGUUUUGGUUUCGUAUGGUUUUGAUUGCCAUUACAGUUAUUGUAAUGGCAAACCAGGGAGGACGUUAGAAAAUUGAAAACGUAAUCCAUGAUGGCCGUCGUUCUUUUCUAUCCUUUCCUCUUCAUUUCAUUUUGAGGCGAAUUUUGAGGGCGUUGUAUCGCCGGACGUGGUGCCAUUUCUGCGUUUUGUGAUUUUGUCAAGUGUUCCUUUCACAUGCGGAAUAAAACUUUUCGUUUUCAUCGUCAUCAUUCUAAAGUGUCUCUUUUCAGCUUUCGUUGUUAAGAAAAUCUGACAAAGUGGUGCCGAAUAAUAGUUACGCAGUCAGACGUGCACUUGGUUUGUGCUGGGCAGAAUUGGGCUGAUUAAGGAAUUACAAGAAGAGUGUUAGAUUUUCUUUCACCUUUUUCUCUUGCUGCCCGUGAAGGUUAACGAGCAGUUGUUUAUGCACGCGUGAAUUAUUUCCCUAUUUCCAAGUGCUAAGUCUUUGUUUAUUUUGGCAUGGUUUCAAUCUUUACAAAAUUGAAUAAUGCCUGUACAAAAUUUCAACCUCACCCCCCACUGAAGUGGAUACUGGAGAACGCGUAUUACCUUGACAUUGGUUUUCUGGGUUGUCUGUGCGAUCCCCGACAUUCCAAUCCUCCGGGUCCCGUCACGACCGUUGCCUCUGCUCCUUUAUCGGCGUCUUUCGUCUCCAUCUCGACCUCUUCGCCUUCAGCCAAGUUACGAAAUCCGUUCAUACGGAUCACGCUCUUAAAAAAAUAACCACAACAAUUCUAUGUUAUGAGUCGUGAUUAAUCAAGAACCACCGAAUAGUAAAACUCUUAUUCGUCCUCCUAUUUUUGAAUCGAUUAUAGAAAUAGCCACGAAAAGAAAACGAGCUUGAAAUUCCGGUAGCAGACCAAAUUCUUCGGAUGAUUAAAAAAUUGUGUGAUUAUCUUGUUAUAAUCCCCCACCCUCACACAUUAAACACAUUCAAUCUCUUAUGUAUAGACAUAUAGUUGCUAUAGUUGCAGUUGCCCGGACCCAUGAUAAAUUCAUAAUACAUUCCUUCUUAUUAUUUAUUCAAAGAUUCAGUUUGGAAAUUUUUGUUUUUAUUUUCUUUCCCCCCAGUGGAGACGAUGAUGUAUAGCGAGUCCAACAGAUGUGCCGGCAGCUGGACAACGAUCGAUCGCGCCGUAGGAAAUAAUAAGACGGAAAUCAAUACAGGAUAGCCUCUCUCCGAGUCCGUCGCGUUGCUGGACAUAUCAACGGGAUUGUAGUAGCGUACUAUAGAAAUGGGAUCGGUCAGAGCCAUCAGGAUUUCGUUUGCUUGUUGCUCUGACGAUAGUCGACACUUGUAUUUAACUGUUGUGUAUCUCCAUGGGCAACUGGUAAAUUCUAAAGGUUAUUUUCUUAAUUGUUUUCCCAUAAACCCACACGCUAAGGCUCUCGAGUUAUCUCUACAUGGCACUUGAAAAAUAGAAACUUGCUUCUUUCAUCCUCAAAAUAGAACGACCGCGGCCAUUCAAAUGUUAUUUUCCCUUACAUUUAUAGAUAUUUCACGUUUGUGCUGCCUAUAAAUACAAAAGUAUAUUUCUA